Molecule: non-coding RNA, 65 nt
Organism: Rhinopithecus bieti (black snub-nosed monkey)
Lineage: Eukaryota; Metazoa; Chordata; Mammalia; Primates; Cercopithecidae
Source: Ensembl
UGGUAAGUAGUUUAAGUAAAACAAAUGAUUUCGACUCAUUAAAUUAUGAUAAUCAUACUAACCAA